Molecule: ribosomal RNA, 406 nt
Filed under: uncultured bacterium
Lineage: Bacteria
Description: partial 16S ribosomal RNA
Rfam family: Bacterial small subunit ribosomal RNA
Source: RNAcentral
AUUGAACGCUGGCGGCAGGCCUAACACAUGCAAGUCGAGCGAGCGGCGGACGGGUGAGUAAUGUCUGGGAAACUGCCUGAUGGAGGGGGAUAACUACUGGAAACGGUAGCUAAUACCGCAUACCAUCAGAUGUGCCCAGGUGGGAUUAGCUAGUAGGUGGGGUACAGGCUCACCUAGGCGACGAUCCCUAGCUGGUGUGAGAGGAUGACCAGCCAUACUGGAACUGCGACACGGUCCAGACUCCUACGGCAGGCAGCUGUGGGGAAUAUUUGACAAUGGGCGCGAGCCUGACGCAGCCAUGCCGCGGGAGUGAAUAAGGCCUUCGGGUUGUAAAGCACUUUCAGCGGGGAGGCGUUACCCGCAGAAGAAGCACCGGCCAACUCCGUGCCAGCAGCCGCGGUAAUAC